CCCUAUGGGGUGCAGCCGGCGGAAACAUUGACAAAAGCGUUGGGUUUGUAAAGAAAACCGGCGCAAAAAGCCGAAAAGAUGUAAACUGGAAUGUGUAUUUGCCGGGAUGGCCGUGUCGACCUUUCCGGCUUGGUUUACGGAAGGAGACGUGGAAUGAAAGUGGUCAUCAUUGGGGGCGUGGCGGCGGGACCGAAAACGGCGGCGCGGAUCAUGCGGCUGAAUCCGGACGCGGAUGUCACAAUUGUUGAAAAAGGGCGUUUUCUUUCGUAUGCGGGGUGUGGGCUUCCGUAUUAUGUGGGUGGUGAGGUAUCGGAGCAGAAGGAACUGUUGGCGACGCCGGCGGGGGGGGUGCGGGAUGCGGCGGUCUUUUUGAAUGUGAAGGGGGUGAAGGUGGUGGCGGGGGAGC
This 406-nucleotide ribosomal RNA is filed under the name uncultured prokaryote. RNAcentral's name for it is "partial 16S ribosomal RNA". The record is from RNAcentral.